RNAcentral lists this transfer RNA (74 nucleotides) under Anaeramoeba ignava. It matches the Rfam family "tRNA". Rfam says of the family: Transfer RNA (tRNA) molecules are approximately 80 nucleotides in length. Their secondary structure includes four short double-helical elements and three loops (D, anti-codon, and T loops). The record is from Rfam by way of RNAcentral. Lineage: Eukaryota; Anaeramoebidae.
GAAGAUGUAGCCCAAAGGUAGAGUGUUAUAACUUCUCAAAUUAAAGGUUGUUGGUUCGAAUCCAAUCAUCUUCA